GCAUAACGCGAAGAACCUUACCCAGGCUUGACAUCCUGCUAAAGACCCCGAAAGGGGACUGUGCCUUCGGGCCGCAGUGACAGGUGAUGCAUGGCCGUCGUCAGCUCGUGUCGUGAGAUGUUUGGUUAAGUCCGUCAACGAGCGCAACCCUUAUAGUUAGUUGUAUUUCUCUAGCUAGACCGCCCUGGUAACAGGGAGGAAGGAGGGGAUGAUGUCAGGUCAGUAUUUCCCUUACGUCUGGGGCUACAAACACGCUACAAUGGCCGGUACAAAGGGCAGCCAACCCGCGAGGGGGAGCAAAUCCCAUCAAAGCCGGUCUCAGUUCGGAUAGCAGGCUGAAACUCGCCUGCUUGAAGCUGGAAUCGCUAGUAAUGGUAGGUCAGCACACUACCGUGAAUACGUUCCCGGGUCUUGUACACACCGAGUCUUGUACACACCGGGUCUUGUACACACCG
This 455-nucleotide ribosomal RNA is filed under the name uncultured bacterium. RNAcentral's name for it is "bacterial SSU rRNA". It matches the Rfam family "Bacterial small subunit ribosomal RNA", at positions 954 to 1387 of the family's 1533-position model. The record is from RNAcentral.